Molecule: long non-coding RNA, 435 nt
Organism: Ictalurus punctatus (channel catfish)
Lineage: Eukaryota; Metazoa; Chordata; Actinopteri; Siluriformes; Ictaluridae
Source: Ensembl
CCUUCGAUAGCUCAGUUGGCAGAGCGGAGGACUGUAGGUGCUCAUAGCGGUCAUCCUUAGGUCGCUGGUUCGACUCCGGCUCGAAGGAGGGCUGUCUCCGUGCGAGUUGGCUUCUUUUUUUUUCAAAAUGUUAAUUUGGCCAGAGGUGAUUAAAAGAUCUUCCCUGACCGGGAAUCGAACCCGGGCCGCGGCGGUGAGAGCGCCGAAUCCUAACCACUAGACAACCAGGGACGAAAAACCGAGAAAUGGUGGCCUCUUCGCUGGCCAUGCUGGCCCCUGUCUACCACCAAAAGCUCCUACAAAAGGCACGUGAGUGUCAGCACUGGAAAGUGGAGCAAUAAGAUGGUGGCUUGGUCUGAUGAAUCAUGUUUUCUUUUACAUCAUGUAUGGCUUAGGGUUAGGGUUAGAAAAGGCUUGAAAAGACGCUUGGCCAAG